CCUGUGAUCAUGUAUUUAACGGCCGCGGUAUUUUGACCGUGCAAAGGUAGCGCAAUCACUUGUCUUUUAAAUGAAGACCUGUAUGAAUGGCACAACGAGGGCUUAACUGUCUCCCCCUCCUAGUCAAUGAAAUUGAUCUCCCCGUGCAGAAGCGGGGAUAAAAACAUAAGACGAGAAGACCCUGUGGAGCUUUAGACACAAGAACAGCCCGUGUUAAACAAGCCUAAUUAAAGGCCAAAACUAAUCGAAGCCUGUCCUGCUGUCUUUGGUUGGGGCGACCGCGGGGUAAUAAAUAACCCCCACGUAGAAUAAGGGGACUAUCCCCCCUAAAAGUAAGAGUCGCAACUCUAACUAACAGAAUUUCUGACUAAAAAUGAUCCGGCAACGCCGAUCAACGAACCGAGUUACCCCAGGGAUAACAGCGCAAUCCUCUUCCAGAGCCCAUAUCGACAAGAGGGUUUACGACCUCGAUGUUGGAUCAGGAC
Molecule: ribosomal RNA, 485 nt
Filed under: Alloclinus holderi
Lineage: Eukaryota; Metazoa; Chordata; Actinopteri; Blenniiformes; Labrisomidae
Description: partial 16S ribosomal RNA
Rfam family: Bacterial large subunit ribosomal RNA
Source: RNAcentral